Molecule: long non-coding RNA, 905 nt
Filed under: Malus domestica (apple)
Lineage: Eukaryota; Viridiplantae; Streptophyta; Magnoliopsida; Rosales; Rosaceae
Description: long non-coding RNA (MDOM_LNC014817)
Source: RNAcentral
UUACAUGUAUAUAUGCAUGCACGUAAUUAAUAUAUAAAAUAUAUAAUAAUAUGUUCACUUCUCUUAGAUGUGUUGUCUCACCUGUGAGACCCAACGGUCACACAUGUUCUAUGUUUUUCUGUUAUGUUGUCACACACUAAGCUUGAAAAUUCGUCGUACAGGAGUAGGCGUGUGAUCCCACAUUGAUAGGAAGAAGGACAUUGCAUGUGCUUAUAAAUUAAUUAGGCUACUCUUCAUAUUCCCAAUUAGUUCUAUGGUAAAACCUUAAUUUUUUUCAAAACGAAGGUAUACAAAAUUAUAGUAUCUAGAACUCUCUUAGUGUCAUCAUGCAUGUAGCAUCUACAACUCUCGCCAUUGACACUUGACAAAGCCACCCCAACUUCCUCAAUCUUUCACGAUCACAAUAUCUCUUUCCUUUUUGGUGAGAUUUAAUUUCUAGAGGUAUGUAUUAUUGUUGUCUGUUGCCAUUGCAAAUCUACAAAAUUGGACAUGACACAGGACUUUUGAAUAGUAGUAUGCAUGCCUCUUCCUUUUAAGAUUAUAAUGGAUGAUUUACUUUUUUUUCUUUUUGUCAAAGAUCAUAAUGGAUAUAUAAUAAGUCGUCUCUAAAUGCAAUCGUUCACAAUUAUGCAAGUUACAAUAUUAAAUACUUUACAAUAUUAAAUUAACAGCUAAAAAUCAUUCAUUCAUUCAUAACAAAUGACGCAGCACAGUCGAACGAGAAAAACAAGUAGCUAGCCUUAACUAGGAGCUUAGAAGGGUGUGAGAUGGUCCUCAUUGGGAAAAACCAUGCAUGCCUCGAAGACCAAGAUCGAAGCAGUCGCCUUAAUUCAGCUGGAUACUUUUCCAGAAGAUUGGCUUUUCUUCUUCCAACCGCGUAUUUUGAUUAGAUGGUUCUCAGAAGU